RNAcentral lists this ribosomal RNA (423 nucleotides) under uncultured bacterium. RNAcentral describes it as "bacterial SSU rRNA". It matches the Rfam family "Bacterial small subunit ribosomal RNA", at positions 30 to 456 of the family's 1533-position model. The record is from RNAcentral.
AUUGAACGCUGGCGGCAUGCCUUACACAUGCAAGUCGAACGGUAACGGGCCUUCGGGUGCCGACGAGUGGCGAACGGGUGAGUAAUGCAUCGGAACGUACCUUUCAGUGGGGGAUAACGUAGCGAAAGUUACGCUAAUACCGCAUAUUCUGUGAGCAGGAAAGCAGGGGAUCGCAAGACCUUGCGCUGAUUGAGCGGCCGAUGUCAGAUUAGCUAGUUGGUGAGGUAAAGGCUCACCAAGGCGACGAUCUGUAGCGGGUCUGAGAGGAUGAUCCGCCACACUGGAACUGAGACACGGUCCAGACUCCUACGGGAGGCAGCAGUGGGGAAUUUUGGACAAUGGGGGCAACCCUGAUCCAGCCAUGCCGCGUGAGUGAAGAAGGCCUCGGGUUGUUAAAGACGUCUUUCGGUCCGGGAACGGAAA